UGCAGUCGAGGGGUAACAGGGAUUGCUUGCAAUCCGCUGACGACCGGCGCACGGGUGCGUAACGCGUAUGCAACCUACCUUCUACAGGGGGAUAGUCAAUAGAAAUGUUGAAUAAUACCCCAUACGAUCAUUAAUCUGCAUGGAUUGAUGAAGAAAGUUCCGGCGGUAGAAGAUGGGCAUGCGUCCUAUUAGUUAGUUGGUAAGGUAACGGCUUACCAAGACAUCGAUAGGUAGGGGUCCUGAGAGGGAGAUCCCCCACACUGGUACUGAGACACGGACCAGACUCCUACGGGAGGCAGCAGUGAGGAAUAUUGGACAAUGGAGGCAACUCUGAUCCAGCCAUGCCGCGUGCAGGAAGACUGCCCUAUGGGUUGUAAACUGCUUUUAUACAGGAAGAAUAGUACCUACGUGUAGGUAUUUGACGGUACUGUACGAAUAAGGAUCGGCUAACUCCGUGCCAGCAGCCGCGGUAAUACGGAGGAUCCAAGCGUUAUCCGGAAUCAUUGGGUUUAAAGGGUCCGUAGGCGGUCUGAUAAGUCAGAGGUGAAAUCCUGCAGCUCAACUGUAGCAUUGCCUUUGAUACUGUUAGACUUGAGUUAUUGUGAAGUAGUUAGAAUGUGUGGUGUAGCGGUGAAAUGCAUAGAUAUCACACAGAAUACCGAUUGCGAAGGCAGAUUACUAACAAUAUACUGACGCUGAGGGACGAAAGCGUGGGUAGCGAACAGGAUUAGAUACCCUGGUAGUCCACGCCGUANACGAUGGAUACUAGCUGUUCGAUCAACAUUGGUUGGUUGAGUGGCUAAGCGAAAGUGAUAAGUAUCCCACCUGGGGGAGUACGCUCGUAAGAGUGAAACUCAAAGGAAUUGACGGGGGCCCGCACAAGCGGUGGAGCAUGUGGUUUAAUUCGAUGAUACGCGAGGAACCUUACA
This 929-nucleotide ribosomal RNA is filed under the name uncultured marine bacterium. Its description in RNAcentral is "bacterial SSU rRNA". It matches the Rfam family "Bacterial small subunit ribosomal RNA", at positions 56 to 975 of the family's 1533-position model. The record is from RNAcentral.